This 498-nucleotide ribosomal RNA is filed under the name uncultured organism. Its description in RNAcentral is "SSU rRNA". It matches the Rfam family "Bacterial small subunit ribosomal RNA", at positions 32 to 509 of the family's 1533-position model. The record is from RNAcentral.
AACGCUGGCGGCGUGGUUGAUACAUGCAAGUCGAACGGGAAUGAGGGCUUCGGCCCUUUAGUACAGUGGCGGACGGGUGAGUAACACGUAAUCAACCUGCCCUCAAGAUGGGGAUAGCCUUCCGAAAGGAAGGGUAAUACCUGAUAAGCCCACAGUGCGGCAUCGCACAGUGGUAAAAGGUGGGGACCUUCGGGCCUGCCGCUUGAGGAUGGGAUUGCGUCCUAUUAGCUUGUUGGCGGGGUAACGGCCCACCAAGGCAAUGAUGGGUAACCGGCCUGAGAGGGUGAACGGUCACAUUGGAACUGAGACACGGUCCAGACUCCUACGGGAGGCAGCAGUGCUGAAUCAUUCGCUAAUGCGCGAAAGCGUGACGGUGCGACGCCGCGUGCAGGAAGAAGGCCUUCGGGUUGUAAACUGCUGUCAGUAUUUAGGAAACAACAUAUUUUAAUAGAAUAUGUCUUGACUCGAUACAGAGGAAGCACAGGCUAAUCUCGUGCC